UAAUACGGAGGGGGCUAGCGUUGUUCGGAAUUAUUGGGCGUAAAGGGCGCGUAGGCGGCCUGGUAAGUCAGACGUGAAAUCCCUCGGCUCAACCAAGGAACUGCGUUUGAAACUACCGGGCUUGAGUCCCGGAGAGGGCAGCGGAAUUCCCAGUGUAGCGGUGAAAUGCGUAGAUACUGGGAGGAACACCGGUGGCGAAGGCGGCUGCCUGGACGGGUACUGACGCUGAAGCGCGAAAGCGUGGGGAGCAAACAGGAUUAGAUACCCUGGUAGUCCACGCUGUAAACGAUGGGCACUUGGUGUUGCGGGUAUCGACCCCUGCAGUGCCGAAGCUAACGCAUUAAGUGCCCCGCCUGGGGAGUACGGUCGCAAGGCUG
This 377-nucleotide ribosomal RNA is filed under the name uncultured bacterium. RNAcentral describes it as "bacterial SSU rRNA". It matches the Rfam family "Bacterial small subunit ribosomal RNA", at positions 521 to 896 of the family's 1533-position model. The record is from RNAcentral.